AGUGAACGCUGGCGGUAGGCCUAACACAUGCAAGUCGAACGGCAGCACAGUAAGAGCUUGCUCUUACGGGUGGCGAGUGGCGGACGGGUGAGGAAUACAUCGGAAUCUACUUUUUCGUGGGGGAUAACGUAGGGAAACUUACGCUAAUACCGCAUACGACCUACGGGUGAAAGCAGGGGAUCUUCGGACCUUGCGCGAUUGAAUGAGCCGAUGUCGGAUUAGCUAGUUGGCGGGGUAAAGCCCCACCAAGGCGACGAUCCGUAGCUGGUCUGAGAGGAUGAUCAGCCACACUGGAACUGAGACACGGUCCAGACUCCUACGGGAGGCAGCAGUGGGGAAUAUUGGACAAUGGGCGCAAGCCUGAUCCAGCCAUACCGCGUGGGUGAAGAAGGCCUUCGGGUUGUAAAGCCCUUUUGUUGGGAAAGAAAAGCAGCAGGUUAAUACCCCGCUGUUCUGACGGUACCCAAAGAAUAAGCACCGGCUAACUUCGUG
RNAcentral lists this ribosomal RNA (492 nucleotides) under uncultured bacterium. Its description in RNAcentral is "partial 16S ribosomal RNA". It matches the Rfam family "Bacterial small subunit ribosomal RNA", at positions 29 to 507 of the family's 1533-position model. The record is from RNAcentral.